Non-coding RNA from Meleagris gallopavo (turkey), 339 nucleotides. The record is from RefSeq and is a predicted model, not a curated record. NCBI's taxonomy places the organism in Eukaryota, Metazoa, Chordata, Aves, Galliformes, Phasianidae.
AGCUUGGGUGCAUUGUUUGUCUCACUCUCUCGUCCACUCUCCCUCUCCUUCACCAAAUGCUUUCUCAGUGAUUAGUUACUGAGUAGAAGGGGCUCCAGUUACCAUGCCGCCUGCCAUCUCCCCUCCUUUUAUUGGAACUAAUAUCCCACCUGCGAUGAUAAGCAUAUUUGGGGAGAUAAAGGCUGACUUGAGAGACAUCAGAACACAGUUUUUAGAAGAGAACUUGACUGCAGUCAAUGUAAAGUGGAAAGAGAACCAUCAUGUCUCCAAGACAGAUGUUACCUGGUGGAUCUCACCAAGCUUUGAGUUUAUGUUUGCACAUAUGAAUAAACAAAACCA